This 4000-nucleotide long non-coding RNA is filed under the name Heterocephalus glaber (naked mole-rat). RNAcentral describes it as "lncRNA (ENSHGLG00000049885.1)". Lineage: Eukaryota; Metazoa; Chordata; Mammalia; Rodentia; Bathyergidae. The record is from RNAcentral.
GCCAAGGAGGGGUUUGAAGGCACACACGGGACGCUGUUCUCCGGCACAGGGUACAGGGGACCCCUCUGGCCCCUCUGGAGAUUAUAUGUAGAAUACCAAGACUGAAGAAGCAAGCAUGGACGUGGAGGAGAGAGGACGGCUUUGGGCCUAACAUGGUAACAUGGAGGGGACAGAGCGAACUGAGUGGCUUUGUGGAAGUAUUUUGAAGGCAGAGCUGACCAUACUUGCUGCUGUGUUGUUCUUAGUUGGUAUUGGUGCCGUACAUGUGUCAUUCAUUUCUCACGCUAAGAGUGCUGGAUAGGAACUACAUUUCUGACAUCACAGGUGAUGAGAGAGUUGUUUGGGUGGAUUACCUGCCCACCUUCACGCUGCCACAAAAGAGCAGAAUCGAUAUUCAAGUUCAAAGAAGAGUGCGUUUCCAUAAUAUCGUCACACUGAGUAGCAAUUCACCUUUAAAAUGCUUCUAUCCUGCUCUGACACGGUUGUAAAACAAAAAUCUAACCGGACCAACUGUUCUUCAGAGCCUAUCGACAGUCGGCCGAAAGCACUGAUUCACUGGAUAGAACCCAGGUUCCACUUCAGAAGCUCAGCUCGCAAGAAACUCACAGCCCUGCACUGCCUUUGUUUUUGAGUCGCUGCCAAAAUCUGUUGCUUACUCCCUUAUUGGCACAACUGAACUCCUGUGUAAGAACUCAGCCCUCAGUAGAACAUUAAAUAUUUGAAUAUACAAGCAUUUCCUCUCAAGAAAAUCUCUUCUAUCACUGCACCACAGUGCUUUGUAAAAUAGAAUCUAAAACAUUUCUGAGCUUGAGUUGGAUGUAUUUUCUACAGGUAGUAUGGAGAUAUAUAUCAGUAUUCUUAUUGACAUACCUUUUAAGGUUACAAAAGUCAUACCUGAUAUCUGCACUUAGGCUGAUUUUUAACUGCUAAUGAUAGUUACUGUCUUUCUGACUCGUUAGAAGUUGGGUCCUCCUAGUGCCUCCGAUAGAAACAGGAAGGAUGGAAAGCUUGUCUGGUGGGGCACCUUGUUCUGAGGAACUAGGGAUCACAUCAGAUCCAUACAGCCUGAGCCCCGACAACCCUGUGCGAAGAUACUUCAGAGGAGCAGGUCGACAGUGCCCUUCUGAAGCAAUCACAGAAAGAAACCUCAUCUACAGGCCGACCAACAAUCUUGUACCAGUAACACCUGAUUAAAUUAUCUUUGGCAAAAAUAAAAAUAAUAAUAAAGGAGGAAUAUUUCAAAACAAAACCUCAGCAAAAAUACCUUUUGUUGAAUUUCAAGGUUUGCAACAGCAGCCUUAUAAAAAGCUUCCAUUAAUUCAAUUUUAGGUUGGCAUGAAAAUGAUAGUGUGUUUUGGAGGGUAAUUCUCCUAAAAACAACACAAUGCAACUGAAAUGGCACACUCCUCAUUACCUGCAUUCUGAGUAAUAAGAUGUUAACCUAAAGGAGAGACUGCUGAGAUGUCUCCUAUACCUAAAUUGCACUGUGUGGGUGACUCCCUUUGACACAGGUAAAUUCCUGUGUGGGCUGAAAUAGCUCUGUGAAAAUGCCCUCUGAUGCUUACUUUAAAAGACUUUGCAAGCCACAGCUGGCUCUCCUUUCAUUAUCCCUAUAAACUUACGAAAAAUACAGCACAAAGGAACGUUAUAAUGAUGUGCAGUUCUUUGUGGAAAAUAUUCAGUAGAAGAAACUGUAGAUGAAAGAAACAAAGUUGUAGCUAUUAUUAGGAAAUUGUAACUUGGUUUCAUAAAUUUCUACAUAAGUCUAGAGUAGAAGGAAAGCAAUUAAACGUAAAAGUCAAGUCAAUCAGAAGCACAGACAAAAAUUUUAUGUAAAGUUAUAUUCAGAGGAGUGGUGGUAAUAAUAUAAAUUUAGGAAUCACCUUCAUGUUUGGGGGUAAGAAAAUAGAUACACAAAUGUAUUCACUCAUAAUCCCUUAAAAUAAUGUUUCACAGACUAUGCUCUAAGGAAAUACUCUUGUCACUAAGUUGCAUGGUACAACACAGGGCAAUGAAGGUGGGACUCUUGCCAUAGGCCAAGCACUUUGUCAUGAACCUUAGUGCAUGUAGUAUAACCAAGCAUUUACUGCAAAUCUCAUGGGCUCGAGAAGAGCAAUCCUAGCGUCUAGGGAACUGAAGAAAUUAAGGGUUUGUAAAAGUGUGUUUUGGUGAUCAUGACACAUAUAAGCAGUGAGUCACUGAGCUUUUUAAUUAUGAGUUCCUACACUGUACUUUUACAUAUUGGAUCCGUGUUUUGGGUAAUCACAGAGGACUGGAAGGAUAAUGUAACAUAUGCUUUAAUUUUACCCUUUGGCUCCUCCAGCUCACCUGCUUCAGAAUUUUGUAAGCUUCAAUCUCUCUGUCACUUUAUUAUGCUGACUACUUGUAUUUGUGAAUGGGAAUGUCUUAGUGAAUGGCCACCAUAGAAUCAGAAGAGAAUUCCCAUGGGGAAUGUUAUUAGGGAAGAUUUGAUACAGAGGGAAAUCUACAUACCUGGAAAACAAAAUAUGUAAUUUAAAGACAAGUUAAACUAACUUUUUUCUUUCUUGGUUACAAUGACUGAUAAACAUUCUGUUCCAUUUUAUUGAUUCGGUACAUAUGAUACACUACAAAUAUGUAUUGGUAAUGUCACAAUAGUAGCAGCUUCCUGGACCUCUGACACUUAAAAUAUAUCUAAUUAUUAAAAAUCAACUAACUAAUAAUUGGAGCAGUGAUUGACACAACCUCAACAGCUUCAAUGCAACUCGUGAGAUUUUCUUGACUUUGAGCACAAAUCAAUUGUUCAUGAGUUUCCUAAAUCCUCCAUUCCAGUGGUCAAGAUCAUAAAUAUUUGAGAGAACAGAUAGAUGAUAUUCCACUGAAGGUAGAAGCAGUGUGAUAACCACUCAAUAGAUACCUUGGGCAAUGGUAAAAUCCUCUUUAUGUGCUACAUUCAAAAAUAUUUCUUAUUGUAGGAUUUCUCUAGGAGCUCCUUUAGGAAAUUAUAUUGCCAGAGUAUAUUUCAUUUAAUUUUUUUUAUCAACUUGAGAGAAAUAGCAGAAAUAAUCUUUACUCAAAAACUUGAGUUAUUUUUGCUGCCAAAAGGGAAUGUAUGUUCACUUGAUAUUUUUAAGCACAAAUGAGAAAAAAAUAAGUAAGAGGAGUUAUUUCAGCUCAUUCGAGUACACCAAAGCCUUCUGUAGGGUGAGCAAAAAAUGGCAUUGGAAAAACACAUACACAAGGCAUUUUCUGACUAGAGCCGGCAAGUCAGGCUGAGUGCCAGCCACACCCUGCUCAUGUGCUGGACACCAGAACAGUGCGAUACAACAAAUGGUCAGGGUCCGGUGUUUAAAGACUUCAUCUCUGGGUUCAGGGUCUGCCAUCUCCCAGCUACCUGAGUAGGAGCAGGUGCCCGGUCUACUCUCCAUCAGUGACAUGUGCAGCAAUGACUCGAUCUAAGAGGAUUCCUCCAAAGACUACAUGAGUCUCACCUUUGCUCCAGCAAACACCGUGCUCUGGACAGGAGACACACAAUGCUUGCUGGGUAAUUACAAAACAAAAUUCUUCAGGGGGCCCAAAGAGGUAUUGAUCGUGCCAGAGCAAGAGCAGCAAAAGAGAAUUCAGUGAUCCCAGUGUGUCCCCAGGGCUUGAGCUCCAGAUGGGUCUGUUUUCAUAUUCCUCAGACUUCCCAGGCAAAGUCUCAUCUACCGGAGACGUUCUCCAACACAUUCUGUUCUUUCCCUAACUGCAAUUUCAGACCUCCCUGUGGCACAUCUUUCUUCUUUACACCACUCAGCUUUUUCAUGUGACUACUUAUGCACAAUUUCUCAGAAGUUCUAAAAGGAAAAGAGUCUGUAUGUCGCUCAAGACUGUAUCAUCCUAGUAUGGUACAUACAGCUUGUACACAAAUGGAUACUCAGUAAAUGUGUGUUGGAUAAAUUCACAAAUAAUUUUAAUCUAUGCCACAUAAUAAUUAAGAAUAUAGCAAGGAAAUGGCUGAGGAAUUCAGAUAUGUGUGAGG